AGGAUUAUAGUUUAUAAAAACAUUUGAUUUGCAUUCAAAAAAUAUUGAAUAUUUAUCAAUUUAUCUUU
This 68-nucleotide transfer RNA is filed under the name Amerila alberti. RNAcentral describes it as "tRNA-Ala". The record is from RNAcentral. Lineage: Eukaryota; Metazoa; Arthropoda; Insecta; Lepidoptera; Erebidae.